CUGCAUUUCUAGCAUAUUUAAUGCAGGAUAUAAAUUAAAGAGUUAGGAAUAUAUUCAAGGCUUUUGGCUUGAGCAACUGGAAAGGCAGAAUUACCAUUAAUGAUAUUUUUCAGGAAUUCCAAUUUGGACAUGUAAGUUUGGAUGUCUACUAGAGAUCCAAGUGGGAGUAUUAAAACAGAGAGUUGGAUACAUGGAUCAGAGCUCAUGAUAGAGGUUCAGGUUGGGGGUGAGGUAGGAUCUAUAAAACUGACCUGGAUUUAGCACUGUAUAGAUUGCUGGUAACUUUGACAGGAACACUUCUGGUAGAACAGUAAGGACAAAUGCCUGAUUGGACUGAGUUUUAAAAGAGAAUGGGAGGAGGAGAGGAAUUGGGAACAGAGCUUACAACAAUUUUCCAAGGAGUUUGGCUACAAAGAAGGAAUAGAGAAAUAGAAUGAUAACUGGGGAGGAAGGUAGUGCUGAGAGGAUAUUUCACUGGGCUGAUGGUGCACGCCUGUAAUCCCAGGGGUAGAAUGCACCAGGGGUGCAAUCCCCAGUACCCCCACCCCACUACCAAAAAAAGAGAGAGAGCAAGAGAGAAAGUGGCUGUAAAUAGGAGUAUGAUCGUGGGCAGGAAGGCAGAACAGGUAGGUGCAGACACUGGUAGGAGCACUGUGUGGUGGUAGAAGUUUAGGGAAGUUCUCAUCUGAUUGCUGCAAUUUUGACAGUGAAGUAGGAAGCAAGGUCACCAGCUGAGAGUGAGGACGAGGGAAGUCCUGUUAGAAUGUACCAAAAAAUGACCUCAUAGAGUGGAAGAAAAAAACGAACAAAGAAAAUGAAAGUAUAACUGGCAGACAUCAUUAAGAGUUCACUCGAGGUUCACAGCCUUGGAUUUAAAGUGAAGCCAGUCAGGGUGCUGUGUGCUGCUUGCAGCCACACUCAGGUGCACAGGCGCAGUCAUGGCUCAGGUGGAGAGCUGGAGUUAAGAAUGAGCAAGUAGGAGGGGGAUGAGGGAAUUGAGGGUGUACACAAGGGAAUAAUUUAAAAGGAAUUCAAACUGGGCAAGAAAGGAAGAUAAACAUUGGGGAAGACGUGUGAGAUUGAGGAAUGGUUGGAUCAAAGAACCUUCUAGAAGGAGUGAGCUGGGAAAGAUAGAAGGGGAUGGUCUGGGAGUGGGUGAAGGUUGCAAUUGGUAAAAAUAGGGUCUAGGGCAGGUCUGCUCAAUAAGUAGGUUGUGAAUGGGUGCCAGGCUGAGCUUCGUGUUACUGAUCUGCACUGAGAUAUAUGAAGAAAUUCAAAGUAAACAUUUAGAAACACCCCUGCAACAUCCAAGCAUGUGAUCAGUGGACUUCUAUUUAGAAUGUCUUUGUUUUUUAAACUUCAUUUGCCUAUUAAUUUGUUAUUGAAUUUUUAAUUUUUACACCAGGGAUUGAACUCAGGGGCACUUAACCACUGAGCCACACCCCCAGUCCCUUUUUGUAUUUUUUAUUUAGAGACAGGGUCUUGCUGAGUUGCUUAGGGCCUUGCUGCAUUGCCAAGGCUGGCUUUGAACUCGGGAUUCUCCUGCCUCAGCCUCCUGAGCCACUGGGAUUAUAGGCAUGUGACACCAAACCCAGCUAUUAUCAAAUUUUUACAAGAGCCUUUGUCUACAACAAAUUGAAUGCAAGCUAACAAAUAACUGGUCAUUUCAGCUGAUCACUGCUGUCCUAUGCAUGGCUAUGCAUAUAAGUACCUCUGCAUUGGCAGAGAGGAGUCAGAAGGACCAGCUCCUUAUAUAAUGAAGUCAUUGUCAUCUUUGGCCUUCCAAGACAGAAGGCCGCCUACUGCACCACUCCAGUGGGCACUGCUCUCACUUUAUGAUACAUGAACACUACAGCUCCAAUAUAGUAUGAAUGUGCUCUUUGAGAAUUCAAGGAAUGGCUGUUGUUAUCUUUGUGUUACAGAUCACAAAAUAAACUCAGAGAGGUUAAGUAGUUUUCCAAACUCAUGCAGCUAUUAAGGGUAGAAACCAAGAUUUGAACCUACAUGUGUCUGUUAGGGCAAAGCUGAAUUUUGACCACAGCACCCAUCCCUAUGUCCCAUGUUUCUGGUUAUAUGGACAGCAUAGUCAUAAACCUUGUGAGAACUGGGGAAACGCCUUUUGGGAAUGUGUAGUAACCCAUCUGACCAUGCCAGACUUUUCAGUUUCUUUUAGAGACACAGCUUGUCACAGCUGCUAUGGUGACCCAUAGCCAAUCACUGCCUAGACCCUGUC
RNAcentral lists this long non-coding RNA (2233 nucleotides) under Marmota monax (woodchuck). Lineage: Eukaryota; Metazoa; Chordata; Mammalia; Rodentia; Sciuridae. The record is from RNAcentral.